Molecule: unclassified non-coding RNA, 281 nt
Filed under: Hevea brasiliensis (rubber tree)
Lineage: Eukaryota; Viridiplantae; Streptophyta; Magnoliopsida; Malpighiales; Euphorbiaceae
Source: RNAcentral
AGAAAGAAAGAAAGAAAGAAAGUCUGAUUAAGAAUUUGUAAAGCCACACUCAGGUAGCCACAUGAAAAGGCUUAUCUAAGUGAAACUCACAUUACUAAGGCACUUGAUGAUAGCCAUAUAACAAGGCCAUUGAUGAUUUAUUUAUAGUCACCAUUACUUUGAUAAAACUGAAAACAGAAACCCAUAUUUCUGAUCAUGAAUUACCGAAGCAAAAACCUGCUCAAGGAUCAAACACUUCCAAAAAUUAAAGGAAUUGCUGUGCAUUGUGAAAUGGAAGAAAG